GACGAACGCUGGCGGCGUGCCUAAUACAUGCAAGUAGAACGCACAGUUUAUACCGUAGCUUGCUACACCAUAGACUGUGAGUUGCGAACGGGUGAGUAACGCGUAGGUAACCUGCCUGGUAGCGGGGGAUAACUAUUGGAAACGAUAGCUAAUACCGCAUAAUAUUAAUUAUUGCAUGAUAAUUAAUUGAAAGGUGCAAUUGCACCACUACCAGAUGGACCUGCGUUGUAUUAGCUAGUAGGUGAGGUAACGGCUCACCUAGGCGACGAUACAUAGCCGACCUGAGAGGGUGAUCGGCCACACUGAGACUGAGACACGGCCCAGACUCCUACGGGAGGCAGCAGUAGGGCAUCUUCGGCAAGGGACGAAAGUCUGACCGAGCAACGCCGCGUGAGUGAAGAAGGUUUUCGGAUCGUAAAGCUCUGUUGUAAGAGAAGAACGGGUGUGAGAGUGGAAAGUUCACACUGUGACGGUAUCUUACCAGAAAGGGACGGCUAACUACGUG
RNAcentral lists this ribosomal RNA (505 nucleotides) under uncultured bacterium. Its description in RNAcentral is "partial 16S ribosomal RNA". It matches the Rfam family "Bacterial small subunit ribosomal RNA", at positions 28 to 507 of the family's 1533-position model. The record is from RNAcentral.